This 479-nucleotide ribosomal RNA is filed under the name uncultured bacterium. Its description in RNAcentral is "partial 16S ribosomal RNA". It matches the Rfam family "Bacterial small subunit ribosomal RNA", at positions 355 to 818 of the family's 1533-position model. The record is from RNAcentral.
UGGGGAAUUUUGGACAAUGGGCGAAAGCCUGAUCCAGCAAUGCCGCGUGUGUGAAGAAGGCCUUCGGGUUGUAAAGCACUUUUGUCCGGAAAGAAAUCCUUGGCUCUAAUACAGUCGGGGGAUGACGGUACCGGAAGAAUAAGCACCGGCUAACUACGUGCCAGCAGCCGCGGUAAUACGUAGGGUGCAAGCGUUAAUCGGAAUUACUGGGCGUAAAGCGUGCGCAGGCGGUUUUGCUAAGACCGAUGUGAAAAUCCCCCGGGCUCAACCUGGGAACUGCAUUGGUGACUGGCAGGCUAGAGUAUGGCAGGAGGGGGGUAGAAUUCCACGUGUAGCAGUGAAAUGCGUAGAGAUGUGGAGGAAUACCGAUGGCGAAGGCAGCCCCCUGGGCCAAUACUGACGCUCAUGCACGAAAGGCGUGGGGAGCAAACAGGAUUCAGAUACCCUGGUAGUCCCAGCGCCCUAAACGAUGUCAACUA